UACGUAGGUGGCGAGCGUUGUCCGGAUUUAUUGGGCGUAAAGGGAACGCAGGCGGUUUUUUAAGUCUGAUGUGAAAGCCUUCGGCUUAACCGAAGUAGUGCAUUGGAAACUGGAAGACUUGAGUGCAGAAGAGGAGAGUGGAACUCCAUGUGUAGCGGUGAAAUGCGUAGAUAUAUGGAAGAACACCAGUGGCGAAAGCGGCUCUCUGGUCUGUAACUGACGCUGAGGUUCGAAAGCGUGGGUAGCAAACAGG
Molecule: ribosomal RNA, 253 nt
Filed under: Ligilactobacillus ruminis
Lineage: Bacteria; Bacillati; Bacillota; Bacilli; Lactobacillales; Lactobacillaceae
Description: partial 16S ribosomal RNA
Rfam family: Bacterial small subunit ribosomal RNA
Source: RNAcentral